GUGGUCAUCAGUUGUUGAAAAUAUGAAAUAUUCAUGUUGGUUUUACUAGUUCUACGAUGUGUGUGCCAUUCCACAUCUGAGCACUGUAAAGUCUGGCAGCAAAAUAAAGAUAUAUUCAAAUGGAUCUUGUGCUGUGUCUCCCAUCUGACAUCAUACUAGAAAAGGGUCAUGUAAACGUAACAAAAAGUCAUGCGAAUGGACAUCAAAAUGUUGACACAGAUCGGUAUUUGAGACUUAAAUCUUCAGGAUAUAACUUCAUAAAACUGGCGGAUAAAUCAAACUGCGAAGUUCUUUCGAAUGGCGAGUAAAACAGUUGUGUCUCUUCGUAGGAACGAUGAUACAAUAUUUACGUAUGCAUUCAAAUGAUGCUGUUCAAGGUAACAAGAAGAAGUUAACAUUUGGCAGUGUGAGAAAGGAAAUUUUCUUCUGCAUGACGGGAAAAUGAUGUUUGCAUGCAUAUUUUAUCGGAGGCAGCUGCAAAACCACCAAUAGGAAACUCUUUUUGAAAUUAUGUUGUGAUAGACUGUUUGACUGUUUUCGGCCCGCUUUGGCGAGACGAUAUAACGAUAGUUUUAUACGAAAAUCUGCGAUAAAGUCCGGAAAUCUCGCUUGUGGAGAGAAGAAACUUGAU
Long non-coding RNA from Mercenaria mercenaria, 631 nucleotides. RefSeq lists it as uncharacterized. Lineage: Eukaryota; Metazoa; Mollusca; Bivalvia; Venerida; Veneridae. The transcript is spliced from 3 exons. The record is from RefSeq and is a predicted model, not a curated record.